Molecule: ribosomal RNA, 486 nt
Filed under: uncultured bacterium
Lineage: Bacteria
Description: bacterial SSU rRNA
Rfam family: Bacterial small subunit ribosomal RNA
Source: RNAcentral
UAGUCCACGCCGUAAACGAUGUCUACUAGCCGUUGGGCAGCUUGACUGUUUAGUGGCGCAGCUAACGCGAUAAGUAGACCGCCUGGGGAGUACGGCCGCAAGGUUAAAACUCAAAUGAAUUGACGGGGGCCCGCACAAGCGGUGGAGCAUGUGGUUUAAUUCGACGCAACGCGAAGAACCUUACCAGGUCUUGACAUCCAGAGAAUCCUUUAGAGAUAGAGGAGUGCCUUCGGGAAUUCUGUGACAGGUGCUGCAUGGCUGUCGUCAGCUCGUGUCGUGAGAUGUUGGGUUAAGUCCCGUAACGAGCGCAACCCUUGUCCUUAGUUGCUAGCAGGUUAAGCCGAGAACUCUAAGGAGACUGCCGGUGACAAACCGGGAGGAAGGUGGGGACGACGUCAAGUCAUCAUGGCCCUUACGACCUGGGGCUACACACGUGCUACAAUGGCCGGGUACAGAGGGGCAGCGACCCAGCGAUGGGUGAGCCAA